RNAcentral lists this microRNA precursor (126 nucleotides) under Gossypium arboreum. Its description in RNAcentral is "MIR7502 microRNA precursor family". It matches the Rfam family "MIR7502 microRNA precursor family". Lineage: Eukaryota; Viridiplantae; Streptophyta; Magnoliopsida; Malvales; Malvaceae. The record is from Rfam by way of RNAcentral.
UGUUAAAAUUUUUUAUUCAUUUGCACUGUUAAAAACUGACGUAAUUGAUGAAAUAAUUAAACAAUUACAUGUAACGUGCUACAUGUACUUUAUUUUUAAUAGCAGAAAUGAAUGAACUUUUUAACA